UUGAACUGUGUUUCCGAAUCAUUGGGUGUAAUCCCCAAGUGCAUAGAAGGUUGGCUAUGUAGAAAGGCUAAUACUCCGACAUGCUUGAUAAUUUGAUAAAGUGAAAGUGAUUCUGGUAUGAAGCUCGGUGAAGGCGGCGAAAACCAGACCUGAAAAGCGGUUAGGGAAGUAGUCGGGCCGCCAUAAA
This is a non-coding RNA of Desulfosporosinus acidiphilus SJ4, 187 nucleotides long. Lineage: Bacteria; Bacillati; Bacillota; Clostridia; Eubacteriales; Desulfitobacteriaceae. The record is from Rfam.